RNAcentral lists this transfer RNA (75 nucleotides) under Pseudomonadota bacterium. Its description in RNAcentral is "Proteobacteria bacterium (wastewater metagenome) tRNA-Thr". It matches the Rfam family "tRNA". From Rfam's summary of the family: Transfer RNA (tRNA) molecules are approximately 80 nucleotides in length. Their secondary structure includes four short double-helical elements and three loops (D, anti-codon, and T loops). Further hydrogen bonds mediate the characteristic L-shaped molecular structure. tRNAs have two regions of fundamental functional importance: the anti-codon, which is responsible for specific mRNA codon recognition, and the 3' end, to which the tRNAs corresponding amino acid is attached (by aminoacyl-tRNA synthetases). tRNAs cope with the degeneracy of the genetic code in two manners: having more than one tRNA (with a specific anti-codon) for a particular amino acid; and 'wobble' base-pairing, i.e. permitting non-standard base-pairing at the 3rd anti-codon position. The record is from RNAcentral. Lineage: Bacteria; Pseudomonadati; Pseudomonadota.
GCCCAAGUAGCUCAGUGGUAGAGCACUUCCUUGGUAAGGAAGAGGUCGUGGUUUCGAUCACCAUCUUGGGCUCCA